Non-coding RNA from Punica granatum (pomegranate), 552 nucleotides. Lineage: Eukaryota; Viridiplantae; Streptophyta; Magnoliopsida; Myrtales; Lythraceae. The record is from RefSeq and is a predicted model, not a curated record.
AAAGAGAGAAAGGGGUGAAAGGGCCCCACGUGGCCUUAUUUCCCCUGAAAACUCCUUCCACAGCCACACAUUUCUUUCUUCUUUCUUUUGUUCCUUUCCUUUACUUCUGUGUUUUGUUUGGGUGCUGGAGAAACUGAGAAACAGAGGAUGAGAUAAAAGAGAGACAGAACAGAGCGAGCUGAGGAAGAAACGAAGCAGGAGAGGAAGGCUAGGCUCGGGUUCUUGAAGGAUCGAGGAGAUUGAAUUCUUGCACUCUGAAGGUUCGACCCAGUGAGUAUCUUUCUUGGAGUUGUCGACGAGUACUUCAUUCUAUUGUGAAAUGAUAUAUAUAGAUAUAUAUGUUAUGUGAGUUCUUUAUCCAUUGUGAAAUAAUAUAUAUAUAUGUACAUAUAUGUUGUACUUCAUUCCAUUGUGAAAUGAUAUAUAUAUAUAUAUAUAUGUUAUGUGAGUACUCUAUUCUCUUGUGAAAUGAUGUAUUAUAGUUAUAUAAAUUAUUUAAGAAGAAUAUUGUGAUAGUUAAAUUAAUGAAUUGGUCUUGCUAUGUUGUGUGAA